This 510-nucleotide ribosomal RNA is filed under the name Candida albicans. Its description in RNAcentral is "eukaryotic LSU rRNA". The stretch from base 145 to 298 matches the Rfam family "5.8S ribosomal RNA". The record is from RNAcentral. Lineage: Eukaryota; Fungi; Ascomycota; Pichiomycetes; Serinales; Debaryomycetaceae.
GGGUACUGAACUUGCUUAUUGCACCACAUGUGUUUUUCUUUGAAACAAACUUGCUUUGGCGGUGGGCCCAGCCUGCCGCCAGAGGUCUAAACUUACAACCAAUUUUUUAUCAACUUGUCACACCAGAUUAUUACUAAUAGUCAAAACUUUCAACAACGGAUCUCUUGGUUCUCGCAUCGAUGAAGAACGCAGCGAAAUGCGAUACGUAAUAUGAAUUGCAGAUAUUCGUGAAUCAUCGAAUCUUUGAACGCACAUUGCGCCCUCUGGUAUUCCGGAGGGCAUGCCUGUUUGAGCGUCGUUUCUCCCUCAAACCGCUGGGUUUGGUGUUGAGCAAUACGACUUGGGUUUGCUUGAAAGACGGUAGUGGUAAGGCGGGAUCGCUUUGACAAUGGCUUAGGUCUAACCAAAAACAUUGCUUGCGGCGGCAACGUCUACCACGUAUAUCUUCAAACUUUGACCUCAAAUCAGGUAGGACUACCCGCUGAACUUAAGCAUAUCAAAAGCGGGAGG